AUCUAUCUAUUAGUCUUGACCAAAUUACGUGCCAGCAGUCGCGGUAAUACGUAGAAGACAAGUGUUAUUCAUCUUUAUUAGGUUUAAAGAGUACCAAGACGGUUAAUAAAGCCCAAAAGAAAUGAAUACGGGGGACACAUUAACUAGAGUUAUAUGAAAGGAAGCUUUAAGGUACUGUUGAGUGUAGAGAUGAAAUUUAAUGAUACCAGAUGAUUGGCACAGAUUUAUGCGAAGGCAUCUUCUUAUGUAAUAACUGACGUUGUAGGACGAAGGCUUAGGUAAUGAACAGGAUUUGGUACCCCAGUAAUCUAGGCAGAAAAUGAUGAAUGUCAUAGGUUGAAUACAGACGAUUAAAGAUACUAUCUAAUAGUAAAUAGGUGGUUUAUUAAAUAUACUAUCUAAUAAUAAAUAAUCAGUCUAUUAUUGUGUCUAUAAAUGAAAGUGUAAGCAUUCCACCUCAAGAGUAAUUUGGCAACAUUGGAACUGAAAUCAUUAGACCGUUUCUGAAACCAGUAGUGAAGUAUGUUGUUUAAUUAGAUGAUACACAAAAACCUUACCACAAUUUGAAUAUNUNUAAAAUAUAUUUACAAGCGCUGCACGGCUGUCUACAGUUAAUGUCGUGAGACUUUGGUUAGCUC
This 638-nucleotide ribosomal RNA is filed under the name Sticta weigelii. RNAcentral describes it as "SSU rRNA". It matches the Rfam family "Bacterial small subunit ribosomal RNA", at positions 477 to 1086 of the family's 1533-position model. The record is from RNAcentral. Lineage: Eukaryota; Fungi; Ascomycota; Lecanoromycetes; Peltigerales; Lobariaceae.